AUUGAACGCUGGCGGCAGGCCUAACACAUGCAAGUCGAACGGUAACAGGAAGCAGCUUGCUGCUUUGCUGACGAGUGGCGGACGGGUGAGUAAUGUCUGGGAAACUGCCUGAUGGAGGGGGAUAACUACUGGAAACGGUAGCUAAUACCGCAUAACGUCGCAAGACCAAAGAGGGGGACCUUCGGGCCUCUUGCCAUCGGAUGCGCCCAGAUGGGAUUAGCUAGUAGGUGGGGUAACGGCUCACCUAGGCGACGAUCCCUAGCUGGUCUGAGAGGAUGACCAGCCACACUGGAACUGAGACACGGUCCAGACUCCUACGGGAGGCAGCAGUGGGGAAUAUUGCACAAUGGGCGCAAGCCUGAUGCAGCCAUGCCGCGUGUAUGAAGAAGGCCUUCGGGUUGUAAAGUACUUUCAGCGGGGAGGAAGGGAGUAAAGUUAAUACCUUUGCUCAUUGACGUUACCCUCAGAAGAAGCACCGGCUAACUCCGUG
This 490-nucleotide ribosomal RNA is filed under the name uncultured bacterium. RNAcentral's name for it is "partial 16S ribosomal RNA". It matches the Rfam family "Bacterial small subunit ribosomal RNA", at positions 30 to 507 of the family's 1533-position model. The record is from RNAcentral.